Non-coding RNA from Lolium perenne, 2491 nucleotides. The record is from RefSeq and is a predicted model, not a curated record. NCBI's taxonomy places the organism in Eukaryota, Viridiplantae, Streptophyta, Magnoliopsida, Poales, Poaceae.
CCGCCUUCCCCUCCGUCGCCUGCGACUGGUUGUCGCGGACGUGGACCGCUAGCUCGCGCGCCCUCAACCUCCUUCCACGUCUGCACUCUUUAAUGUGGCCGGUGGUUGGGGCAACUGGAAGAAUUCCUCUGUUGUCUCACCUUCAAUGCCGACACGGGAGGAGCUCGAGGCACAUCGCCAGGGUCGUGGGGAUGGGGAGCUGUCCCGUCUGCCUCACCGGGCGGCUUUGCCUUCAUCGCGCCCCGCAUUGCAGCCCGGUUAACGGCCCCUCCCUCUUGGCUUAAAGGGAGGUGCUUUCGUUGCUACUCCAAGCACCACCUCGCGUGAGACUACAGAGACCCAAUCAGGUGCACCCUCUGCCUCCGCUGUGGUCAGCAUGCUCGCUACUGCCGGCGAUGCCUUGUGCCCCUUCCUAGCGACAGCAACUUCGACACCUCGCCUGCCACGCCCGCACCUGCUACUUCUGUCGCACCCACAGCCGCUCCUGCAGGUCGGACCUGAAGUUCGUGGUGGAACGCCUAUCUGCACCUUAUUUGGAGGUAGCCUAUCUGCACCUUAUUUGGAGGUACAGAGCCUCCUAUGUCCAUCUUCCUCAUCCCGUCCCUCUCCAAAUCCGCUCGGGCAUCAUAUCAGUGGCUGAUGGACUUCUCGGCCCUGGAGUUAGGAUUGCUACAGCUUGGUGCAUAGAGUUUCUGGUGAUCUGAAGUGAAGAAAAGAACACGGGGACCAGCAGCGUGCUGUUGGGGAGUGGGAGCAUGAGAAGAGCAGGCAGAAUCAGCAACACUCCUCCCAAAAAUGCAAUUGUAGUGCAUUUCUCCUUAUCUUCCUCAUGAGGUUCACGACAUCACCACCUAGCUAAGUUGAAGAGAAUCAUCCUCUUUCCAAGUGAACACAUUAGUUUAAGUUUCUUUGUUGGGAAAAUCUACGGAAAAGCGCCGCACUGAUCACUCUCCCGUGCGGCGGCUUCGCGCAUCGUUUCCCUAUAGGAACGAAAGAAGACACGCGACACACUUAUCCCCACCGAGAGCAUUUCUGGCCACACACGCACGCCUCACCUAAUCCCUUAACCGCUCCUGGCCAGAGCAGCUCGCAAGGUCGCCGCCGAGCGCCGCCGCGGGGAGGUGGUCGACGAGCGCUGCCGCGGGGAGGCUGCCGCCAAGCACCCCCGCCGAGCACCGCCGUGGGGAGCCGGUCGACGAGCGCCGCCGCGGGUCGGCUGCCGCCAAGCACCUCCGCCUAGCCGUGGGGAGGCGACCGCCGAGCGUCGCCGUGGCCCGUUGGGAGGCUGCCGCCAAGCACCCCCGCCGAGCACUACCAUGGGGAGGCGUCCGUCGAGCACCACCGUCUGGAGGUGGAUGAAUGCUGCCGGGAGACUUGAGAGGAGGCUGCUGUCGCCCCGAGGGAGGUAGACGAACACCUGCGCGGCUGCACUCCAUGGGAGGGCCAUUUUUCUCUCCUCUCCUCAAUGGGCUUGUGCGCCUUAUCGUUCCAGGCUGGCCAUCCUCGUCGUGAAGCCGGUGAGCGGUGAGGCAGAGGAUAGAGGAUGUGUGCAGAAGUGGAGAUAGACCAGGUGAAGACAAUGGGGCAGUGGCUGGCGUAAUUGCCAUUAGUUUAGUAAUAAUUUCCGGAUGAAUUAGUACUGUAGCAACUACCUGAUUAAUUAUUAGUAAUUGCCAGAUUAAUUAGUGGGACUUUCCUGAUUAGUUAGAUCAUAGUUGACAGAUUAAUUCUUAGUAGUUGCCGGAUUAACUAGGGCUACUGUUUUUCACUUGUGACUUCACGUUGGUAUAAUAGUUAAUCUGGUAAUUGGGUAAAAUUUAUCUGGCAACUAUUCUAGUUAAUUUAGCAAUUAUUUUUUAUCGGUAAUGAACUGAUGGUGAUUAGGAAAACAAUUAGUUGAAGCUAGCAGCAGCAGCGACAAGCUUGGCUGCAUCUGCCUUUCUUCUUUUGGCUUGCAGCGACCCAGAGUGCUACUUGCUGUUUGCUAAAUAACAGAGGAGCGGGUAGUCUCAGUGUUGCAUGUGCGCUUUGUGGGGCCAAGGGAAUCCGCCGCACGUAUUAAGCACUUGUGCGGCGCCGCCGGGUAGUGCAAUCCUUCUUUGUUUCACAAGGAUUCAUGAGAAUAUGAAUGUUUCAGUUUGAAGUGAUAAUUAAUUGGGGUCGCACAAAAAUGUAAUUCCAGGAAUGAUCUGCGCAUUGAAAUCAUGAAGAACAUGGGAUACCUCGAGUUGAUCCUUGUGAAACAUAUUGCUGAUGUGUUUCCAGAGCUGCAAAGCCUGAAAUACACGAUUCACCAUUUCAUGUUUUCGGUGUUGGCCCUCAGUCCAGCGCACGGGCUCGCCGUCCGCCCGCUCCGGUAGCACCGAAUUCUUCACAGCCUCACCAUGGAAGGUGCCAAUAGCAUGCGACAACGUUGGACCAUGAUUACCAUCUCUCAGGCAGCUUUAAUUUGGUUGCAUGCAUCUGUUUCUUUGAUACUCAUAGAAGGAAA